RNAcentral lists this long non-coding RNA (401 nucleotides) under Physcomitrium patens. RNAcentral describes it as "long non-coding RNA (PPAT_LNC011611)". Lineage: Eukaryota; Viridiplantae; Streptophyta; Bryopsida; Funariales; Funariaceae. The record is from RNAcentral.
GUGUUUGUUGCCGCCACCAGCGUCGAUCGGUUUUUCUUCUGGUGCUUGAACAAGGGCAUCAACGAUCGUGUGUCAGUUCACCGAAUUGUCUGCUCUUCCACGCCUAAUGCUUGUUAACCAGUUCAUGGCUGCUCCACUGUUUCUUCUAACACUGCUUUAGAUCAUCGUGUUAGGGUUUGAACGGUAACAAACGUGAACAGGGUGACAUUUCACAAACUUUGGUGCUUUGUUGAAUCUAAGAAAAUGUAUAGAGUGGAAUCUUUUGAAACUACAUAAUGAAAAUGGUGUUUAUCAGAAAAAUUCAGCAAAAAUGUCUAUAUUUUGAGCGUGCAGUUUUAUUAAAUUUCAUGGAACAGUUUCAUGGAACAGAAAAUUAAAUUUAGUUCGCUGUAGUAACCAUU